CAAAUCCAAUAAAAAAAACUCAGCUUUUCGCCCUUUUCAGCUCUUCAGCCUCUCUCUCUCUCUCUCAAAAGCUUAGGUUUUUAUUCUCUAGCAAGAGCUCAAGAAGAGGAUUGGACUGAUGCAUGGUAAUCGGACUAUUGAUUUGGAUAUUAAAACCUCGGGUUUUGGGUUUCAUCAGCAUUCAUUGCUUCUUUCAUCCACAAAUACCACCGGCAACAGAGGUCUGAUGGACACAAAGACUAUAGAAGGCCUAGUUAACAGCAUUUCUCGAUUUAUUCACUUAGUUGCCUGCAAGACCAUGAAAACCACGCCACUUCAAAAAAACUACCGAGAUAUGGUUUCUCUAUUGAGGAAUUUGAAGCCUGUUCUUGAUGAAGUCGUUGGUUCUAGCAUACCUUCAGAUGAACUACUGCUGAAAGAAUUUGAGGAAUUGGAUAUGGCCGUUAACGAGGCUAGAGAAUUCAUGGAGAAUUGGUGUCCAAAGAUGAGCAAGAUAUGCAGUGUUCUAGAGAGUGAGCCGUUGGUGAUGAAGGUCCAAAGCUCUUCCAUGGAGAUCUGUCAUAUAUUGAAUGGAUUGCUACAGUCAUCUCAUUUUACUUCGCAUUUAGCUUAUGUUCAGCACUGUAUGCAGGAACUUCAAUGUGCAGAGCAGGAGAGAACGCCCGAGCUCAUAGAAGAAGCUCUAAGAGAUCAAAGAGACAAUCUCAUGCCUAGUGCUGACCUUCUAAUAAAGAUUGUGGAGUCACUCAGCCUGACAUCAAAUCAAGAGUUGCUAGCAGAAAGCAUGGCACUGGAAAAGAAAAGAUUGAAGGCUGAGCUGAAGAAGAAUAAAGGAGAUGUCGAAUACAUAGAUCAGGUUAUCGAUCUUGUCGUGCAUAUGCGUGAUUGCAUGGUUAAACUCGAACAGUUCAAGGCGAUAAAUGGGAUACCCAUUCCUUCAUAUUUCCGGUGCCCCUUGUCACUGGAACUGAUGAUGGAUCCUGUGAUCGUGGCCUCAGGACAGACAUACGAGAGGGCUUUCAUCCAAAGGUGGCUUGAUCAAGGGCUGAAAAUCUGUCCCAAGACCCGUCAAACUCUCACUCACAUCAAUCUAAUUCCGAACUACACCGUGAAGGCGUUGAUCGCAAAUUGGUGCGAAGACAACAACAUAAAGUCUUUCAAUUCUCUUGAGUCGACCAAUAUUUCAAACAAUAUUUCAUCCCGUUCCUUAUCUAACUGUGCUCCUGAGGACAAUGCCCAUGUAGACAGUUUCCGCGGUUCUUUGCAUAGCAAUUCCACCUCACAUUCCUCCCUUGAAGUUGGAAAUGGGUCUGAGAGGCAAAUGACAAAAAGUGGUGUGGAAGACUCCAACUUGGUAGAUAAAAAGGUUUGCUACAUCACCUGUCAUCAAAUACCAUCUGAUAAUGCGUCUUCAAAAUGUAAUAUGUCCCUUGAACAGUCAUAUAGUCAUAGCCGAAGCGAAUCCACUUCAAGUGUUGUUUCUAGCAUUGAACAUGCCCCUGCAGCUGUUUUUACUGAAGUUUCAAAGCUAUCGACUAGAUGCGAUGAAAUAAGUGAGGUGUUGGGAGAAGUGAUAUCAGAGUGUCCAGCUUCAUCUCCUUCGAAUAAAGAUUUGGGUUUUUCUCCAUGGCUAUCAGGUAAUCAAUUUUGCAGCUCACUUCCAAGAGCACGGACUGAAAAUGGGAACGGGACACACCACAGAACUCGCUCUUCUCCAUUCUUAGACAGUGACGAUUUAACGACUUCUUCACAUGUCGAGAAACUGGUUGAGGAUCUAAGAAGUCGAUCAAGUGAAGUGCACACUGCGGCAGCAGCUGAGCUCCGUCGGCUCACAAAGCACAACAUGGAAAACCGCAUCAUUAUUGCAAGGUGUGGGGCCAUCGCACCGCUGGUUGCAUUGUUGAACUCGAUGAUAAAGACAACCCAAGAGAAUGCUGUUACAGCCCUUCUAAACCUAUCGAUCAAUGAUGACAACAAGACCUUUAUUGCGGAAGCUGGAGCAAUUGAGCCACUCAUCCAAGUUUUGAAGUCAGGAAAUGCAGAGGCUAAAGAGAACUCUGCUGCCACAUUGUUCAGCCUAUCUGUAUUGGAAGAGUACAAGAUAAAGAUUGGUCGAUCUGGUGCAGUUAAGGCCUUGGUCAACCUUCUAGGGAAUGGCACCCUUAGAGGAAAGAAAGACGCCGCUACAGCGUUAUUCAAUCUAUCAAUCUUUCACGAGAAUAAGGCACGCAUUGUCCAAGCUGGAGCUGUCAAGUACCUGGUCGAGCUGAUGGACCCUGACACAGGGAUGGCUGAUAAGGCCGUCGCCCUUUUGGCGAAUCUGGCAACAAUUCCGGAAGGACGUGCAGCUAUUACUCGAGAAGGUGGAAUUCCAUUACUAGUUGAGAUUGUCGAGUCGGGUUCUCAAAGGGGGAAGGAAAAUGCCGCCUCUGCCUUGUUGCAGCUCUGUAUUAAUAGCCACAAGUUUUGUAGUCUGGUGCUGCAAGAAGGAGCUGUACCGCCUUUGGUUGCAUUGUCUCAGUCGGGUACACCAAGAGCAAAAGAAAAGGCGCAACAGAUUCUGAGUCAUUUUCGGAACCAGCGAGAGGGGAGUAUGGGGAAGGUGAAAUCAUGAUUCUUGAAUUUUGUUGAUUACGAUCUCAUUUCUAGUCUCCUCAUGGGCUCGUCUCCAUGAGGCAAAGUCGACCGGUCCACCGCUUCGAUGUAAGAUGGGUGUACGCCUGCCUCACCCGAUGAUUUGACCUUAUACCUUGUUGAGAGUAUAAUUGCUUGUGCAAUAUCUGUGGCAUGCUUGUGAAAUUUGCAACCCUGUGGAUGAACAUGGAUGACCGAAAUGUGAUGUGGCUAGUAUGGCUUCAGGAGAUUUGCGUUCAUCGGUCAGAUUUUGAAGACAUGGCACAUAUUAGCACCUGGAAGAGACGUGGUCAAUCAAAAUUGCUAUUUUUUUUUUCCCCAUUUCAAGUGGGGAGGGAGCACUUUCCACGAUGGUUGUAGAUUCAAUGAUAAGGGCUUGUUUGUUUUGCAAAUUUCAUGACAAUGUAACUUAAAUAAGCUUUCCGUUGCUAAUUUACAGUGUUUGUUAAACUAGUACUUGUAGUACAUAAUCUGAGGGUCAAAUGUAAAUGUAUAGGAGUUGAAUUUGUAAUCAUUCCAGCUUUACAUUAUAAAAUUGUAAAGGCCACAAUUUUAUAUGAUAAAACAAACAAUGUAAGCAAUGUUAUGAUUGCAAUUUGAAUAAAUAAAGUAAUUUGUAAUUAUUA
RNA transcript from Magnolia sinica, 3260 nucleotides. It is a transcript of the gene named U-box domain-containing protein 3, with no coding region annotated. NCBI's taxonomy places the organism in Eukaryota, Viridiplantae, Streptophyta, Magnoliopsida, Magnoliales, Magnoliaceae. The transcript is spliced from 6 exons. The record is from RefSeq and is a predicted model, not a curated record.